Molecule: small RNA, 55 nt
Rfam family: Streptococcus sRNA SpF59 (ldcC RNA)
Source: Rfam
UGACCACCCGCCGCAGACGGGUAGAGGCCAUACGGACAGCCGGGUCAAAUGCCGA